This 497-nucleotide ribosomal RNA is filed under the name uncultured bacterium. Its description in RNAcentral is "partial 16S ribosomal RNA". It matches the Rfam family "Bacterial small subunit ribosomal RNA", at positions 28 to 507 of the family's 1533-position model. The record is from RNAcentral.
GACGAACGCUGGCGGCGUGCCUAAUACAUGCAAGUUGAGCGCUGAAGGUUGGUACUUGUACCAACUGGAUGAGCAGCGAACGGGUGAGUAACGCGUGGGGAAUCUGCCUUUGAGCGGGGGACAACAUUUGGAAACGAAUGCUAAUACCGCAUAAAAACUUUAAACACAAGUUUUAAGUUUGAAAGAUGCAAUUGCAUCACUCAAAGAUGAUCCCGCGUUGUAUUAGCUAGUUGGUGAGGUAAAGGCUCACCAAGGCGAUGAUACGUAGCCGACCUGAGAGGGUGAUCGGCCACAUUGGGACUGAGACACGGCCCAAACUCCUACGGGAGGCAGCAGUAGGGAAUCUUCGGCAAUGGACGAAAGUCUGACCGAGCAACGCCGCGUGAGUGAAGAAGGUUUUCGGAUCGUAAAACUCUGUUGGUAGAGGAGAACGUUGGUGAGAGUGGAAAGCUCAUCAAGUGACGGUAACUACCCAGAAAGGGACGGCUAACUACGUG